This 389-nucleotide ribosomal RNA is filed under the name Salmonella enterica subsp. enterica serovar Derby. RNAcentral's name for it is "partial 23S ribosomal RNA". It matches the Rfam family "Bacterial large subunit ribosomal RNA", at positions 140 to 567 of the family's 2925-position model. The record is from RNAcentral. Lineage: Bacteria; Pseudomonadati; Pseudomonadota; Gammaproteobacteria; Enterobacterales; Enterobacteriaceae.
UCGUCACACUAUCAUUAACUGAAUCCAUAGGUUAAUGAGGCGAACCGGGGGAACUGAAACAUCUAAGUACCCCGAGGAAAAGAAAUCAACCGAGAUUCCCCCAGUAGCGGCGAGCGAACGGGGAGGAGCCCAGAGCCUGAAUCAGCAUGUGUGUUAGUGGAAGCGUCUGGAAAGGCGCGCGAUACAGGGUGACAGCCCCGUACACAAAAGCGCAUGUGCUGUGAGCUCGAUGAGUAGGGCGGGACACGUGGUAUCCUGUCUGAAUAUGGGGGGACCAUCCUCCAAGGCUAAAUACUCCUGACUGACCGAUAGUGAACCAGUACCGUGAGGGAAAGGCGAAAAGAACCCCGGCGAGGGGAGUGAAAAAGAACCUGAAACCGUGUACGUAC